Molecule: ribosomal RNA, 301 nt
Filed under: uncultured bacterium
Lineage: Bacteria
Description: partial 16S ribosomal RNA
Rfam family: Bacterial small subunit ribosomal RNA
Source: RNAcentral
CAGUCGCCGCGGGAAUACAGAGGGUGCGAGCGUUAAUCGGAUUUACUGGGCGUAAAGCGUGCGUAGGCGGCUUCUUAAGUCGGAUGUGAAAUCCCUGAGCUUAACUUAGGAAUUGCAUUCGAUACUGGGAAGCUAGAGUAUGGGAGAGGAUGGUAGAAUUCCAGGUGUAGCGGUGAAAUGCGUAGAGAUCUGGAGGAAUACCGAUGGCGAAGGCAGCCAUCUGGCCUAAUACUGACGCUGAGGUGCGAAAGCGUGGGGAGCAAACAGGAUUAGAUACCCGCGUAGUCCCUGUCUCUUAUAC